GAUGAACGCUGGCGGCGUGCCUAAUACAUGCAAGUCGAGCGAACAGACGAGAGUGCUUGCACUCUCUGACGUUAGCGGCGGACGGGUGUGUAACAUGUGGGUAACCUACCUAUAAGACUGGGAUUACUUCGGGAAACCGGAGCUUAUACCGGAUAAUAUUUAGCUUCGCAUGAAGCAAUAGUGAAAGACGGUUCUGCUGUCACUUAUAGAUGGACCCGCGGUGUAUUAGCUAGUUGGUGAGGUAACGGCUCACCAAGGCCACGAUACAUAGCCGACCUGAGAGGGUGAUCAGCCACACUGGAACUGAGACACGGCCCAGACUCCUACGGGAGGCAGCAGUAGGGAAUCUUCCGCAAUGGGCGAAAGUCUGACGGAGCAAUGCCGCGUGAGUGAAGAAGGUUUUCGGAUCGUAAAACUCUGUUGUAAGGGAAGAACAAGUGCGUUAGUAACUGAACGUACCUUGACGGUACCUUACCAGAAAGCAACGGCUAACUACGUG
RNAcentral lists this ribosomal RNA (499 nucleotides) under uncultured bacterium. Its description in RNAcentral is "partial 16S ribosomal RNA". It matches the Rfam family "Bacterial small subunit ribosomal RNA", at positions 28 to 507 of the family's 1533-position model. The record is from RNAcentral.